AGCAGCCGCGGUAAUUCCAGCUCCAAUAGCGUAUAUUAAAGUUGUUGCAGUUAAAAAGCUCGUAGUUGAAUUUCGGGAUUAAUUUAUUGGUCGUGCAAUAGUACGUACUGGUAUUAUUGAUUCCUACCUUCUGACGAACCAUGAUGUCAUUAAUUUGGUGUCAUGGGGAAUCAGGACUGUUACUUUGAAAAAUUAGAGUGUUUAAAGCAGGCUCACGCUUGAAUACAUUAGCAUGGAAUAACGAAAUAGGACGUUUGAUUCUAUUUUGUUGGUUUCUAGGAUCGACGUAAUGAUUAAUAGGGGUAGUUGGGGGCAUUAGUAUUCAAUUGUCAGAGGUGAAAUUCUUGGAUUUAUUGAAGACUAACUACUGCGAAAGCAUUUGCCAAGGAUGUUUUCAUUAAUCAAGAACGAAAGUUAGGGGAUCGAAGACGAUCAGAUACCGUCGUAGUCUUAACCAUAAACUAUGCCGACUAGGGAUCGGAUGAUGUUAAUUUUUAUGACUCA
Molecule: ribosomal RNA, 504 nt
Filed under: uncultured Glomeraceae
Lineage: Eukaryota; Fungi; Glomeromycota; Glomeromycetes; Glomerales; Glomeraceae
Description: SSU rRNA
Rfam family: Eukaryotic small subunit ribosomal RNA
Source: RNAcentral